This 775-nucleotide ribosomal RNA is filed under the name uncultured Neocallimastigales. RNAcentral describes it as "partial large subunit ribosomal RNA". It matches the Rfam family "Eukaryotic large subunit ribosomal RNA", at positions 22 to 640 of the family's 3401-position model. The record is from RNAcentral. Lineage: Eukaryota; Fungi; Neocallimastigomycota; Neocallimastigomycetes; Neocallimastigales.
CAUAGCGACUAUCGUGGCAUAUCAAUAAGCGGAGGAAAAGAAACUAACAAGGAUUCCCCUAGUAACGGCGAGUGAAGCGGGAAGAGCUCAAAUUUGAAAUCUUAAAGGGUCUUCCUUUACGAAUUGUAGUUUAAAGAAGUGUUUUCUGUUGGAGUUUCGGUAAAAGUUCUUUGGAAUAGGACAUCAUAGAGGGUGAGAAUCCCGUAUUUGACCGUUACUUUUCAGCUGUGUGAUACACUUUCAAAGAGUCGGAUUGUUUGGGAAUGCAGUCCAAAAUGGGUGGUAAAUUUCAUCUAAAGCUAAAUAUUGGCGAGAGACCGAUAGCGAACAAGUACCGUGAGGGAAAGAUGAAAAGAACUUUGAAAAGAGAGUUAAACAGUACGUGAAAUUGUCAAAAGGGAAGCGUUUGACACCAGUGUUGUUUUUCUCGAAAAUCAAUUAAGAAUGAUGGGAUUUUGUGUUGUAUUGACUUUAUCAGCUUUCUGCACUUUUCUCUUAUCUUUUUUAAUGCACUUUUCGUUUAACAAGUCAACAUCAAUUUCUUUUGUUGUAAAAGAGUCAUUGGAAGGUGGCUUUUUCUUCGGAAAAAGUGUUUAUAGCCUUUGGCUUCUGCAAUCGGAGAGAUUGAGGUCUGCAGCGUAGAUCCUUCGGGGUUAGAUACAUUUGUGCUAGCUAUAGUUCUUUAUAGACAACUUGUUGACUAUAAUCAAUCCUGUAACUUACUCGCUUAUGCUAUUUUACCUACGCUUAGGAUGUUGAUAUGCAUGACUGAUAU